CAACCAUGAAGUAGGCUUGGAGGUAGCCAUCUUUUAAUGAUAGUGUAACAACUCAGUGGUCUAAUUUGAGGAGAGAAGCGUCGAAAAUUAACGGGUCUUAGACAAUAUACCUACACCGUGACUAUUUAUAAUAAUAUCUCUUUUAUUAUAAAUAAGGGUAGCAGAACACUCAGUAUCUGAUUGAAGGAAAAUGUUUCAUUUUCUGGACAGUACUGAAGAGAAAAUGCUGACAUGAGUAACGUAGAAAGGAGUUAAAACACUCCUCGCCGAAUACGAGAGGGUUUCAUGGAGAAGUUAAUCUGCCAUGAGUUAUGCGGACUCUAAGGAAAAUAGGCGAAUGUCUAUAUCUGAUGAGAACUACUUGAAUUACACUGAAUUAUCUAUAUAUAAUAAUUAUUUUAUUCAUUUGUAUGUAAAUUUGCAGAGUUAGAAUAAUUAGAUCAAGAAAAAUAAGUGUCACUAUAUAAAUAGUGAAUCCGUACCCUAAACCGACACAGGUUCGUAGGUAGAGAAUACUAAGGCGUAGAGAUAAUGCUUGUGAAGGAACUCGGCAAAUUGUGCCCGUAAGUUAGACGAUAAGGGUAACCAGAAUAAAUAAUUAUAUUAAAAAUUCUGAGUGUCACAAAAUCGAGGGCUGCGACUGUUUACCAAAAACACAGCAACUUGCUAAGACGAAUAGUACUUGUAUAAGUUGUGAACUCUGCCCAAUGCCAUGUCGUGUAAAGAAGGUGAUCUAUUUAUUAAUUUCUAAUAAUAGAGUCACUAACUGAUGCCAUGGUGAAUGGCGGUCUUAACUAUAAGGAUCUGAAAGUAGCGAAAUUCCUUGGCCAUUAAAUGUGGUCCUGCAUGAAUGAGGUAACGUGGCCCUGCUGUCUCCACAAGCAUCUCAGUGAAAUUGAAUUAGCCGUGCAGAUGCGGUUUACCUUCAGUUAGACGGGAAGACCCUAUGCAGCUUUACUGUAACUUGAUAUUGUUUCUUCUAUAGCUAGGUGUAGUAUACAAGGGAGUAAAUAUUUUUUACAUCAGUGAAAUACCUUGACUAGUCUAAAGAAGAAACUUACCUGUAAUUUUCUAGUAGUACUACAUCUUAUAAAAAAGGAUCUUCAAUUUACAUUUAUAAGAUAGUCUUCUAUAAAUAAAAUUUUUAAUUUGAAUAGAGAUAUAGAAUAUUUUUAUUUUCAUAGAGUUAUUCUAUGGCUAUAUUAUAAGAACUUUGAGUAGUUUAAUAGCUAUUCUAUAAAGUCUUCUAUGAUAUUUAUAGGAACAAUUUUUUUUUUUAAUUUACUAAAUUAAAAAUCAUAGGAAAAUUGUUCUAUAAGAUGUCAGGAAAUGAUUAAAUGGGAAAAUAUCAGGUGGUCAGUUUGACUGGGACGGUAGCCUCUAAUAAAGUAUCAGAGGCCUUCAAAGGUAUGCAUAUAUUGGUCAGAAACCAAUGAACUAUGUAAAGUUUAUUAAAGCGUAAUAGUGUAAGCAUGCUUGACUGAAAGACUGAUAGGUCAAUCAGAUACGCAAGUAGGAUAUAGUGAUCCGGUGAUUCAUAAUGGAAUGGUCAUCGCUCAAGAAAUAAAAGUUACGCUAGGGAUAACAGGUUUAUCGUUUGCGAGAGUUCAUAUUGUCCAAACGGUUUGACACCUCGAUGUCGACUCAUCUCAUCCUCCAGGUGCAGUAGCUUGGAAGGGUUCAGCUGUUCGCUGAUUAAAGAGGUACGCGAGUUGGGUUCGUAAAUACUUACGACAAUUAUUGUACAUCACCACUCAUCUUA
Molecule: non-coding RNA, 1762 nt
Organism: Triticum urartu
Lineage: Eukaryota; Viridiplantae; Streptophyta; Magnoliopsida; Poales; Poaceae
Source: Rfam